Molecule: long non-coding RNA, 345 nt
Filed under: Nicotiana benthamiana
Lineage: Eukaryota; Viridiplantae; Streptophyta; Magnoliopsida; Solanales; Solanaceae
Description: long non-coding RNA (NBEN_LNC041730)
Source: RNAcentral
UGGGUGGUGUGAUUCUGGCAAGGUUUUCAAACCACAUUUCGAGGGGUUUGGUGUUAAUUCGAGGCUGGACUCUUACGAAUCCGGGGUGAGAGAGGCUAGGGGGACCUAGGAUGUUAUUUUGAGGCGGCGAAGCAGUGAUGGAUUCAAAUAUAUAUUCGACGAGUUUGGUCGACAUUUGAGGAACACCAGUUGCAGAAAUGGAAAGAGGAGGCCUGGGAGACGAAGUGGUGUAAUUUUGGGGUUAUUCACCGCCGACGAAGGCGAUUUUCGGCAGGCAGCGGGCGGACGGAUGAGUGGUGGUGUUACGUCAGCGCAAUUAGGGUUAGGGAGAGAUAGGGUACAAGG